GUGGCCACGUGGGCCGCGCGGAGAACGCGCCAGGCUCAUCACCUGGAUCAUCGUGCCUCAGUUUCCCCCUCGGCAAAUGGGGCUUCAGCGGCUCGCGACGCACAUUGAUGGAGCGUAUGUCCAGGCGCCGGUGCACCGCAAGGAGCAAAACAGACACAGUUCUUGGUCCUAGGGCUCACGUCCCGGGGCGAAGAGGAUCCUCCAUAAACGAUCAGCCAUAGCAGCUGUGAUUGGACAAGAGACUGAUUUCAGUGACUUUCUCCUAAUAAGAGACCACCGACCAGCUGACCAUGCCGACCAGCUGACCCGUUAAUAGAGAGAGAUGAUGCACCUGCAUGCCUUUGUGUCCUGAAAAGACGUUUUGCCAUAAAGGCCCUAAUUGUAAGAUGUGUAAAUGUUAAGUCUCCACCCCAAAGUGAACAUGGGUCAUAUAUUACAUGCUUUGCUCAAUAAGAGGGCAUGUGUCAGGACCACCUUCAUGAAUAUUCAUAGCUCCUCCUGUUACCUGUUGAAUAUGUAUGUUUAGCCAAUCCCUUCAGCAUAGCGCUCCUGCCCCAACCCCUCCUCCUUGGACGUGCCUGUCUCUGGCCUUGGCUGGAGACAGAUUCCCAGCCUCAGACAGAUGGCCGCCACCUUGCAGGCUACGACCGUUUACAAGAAAUAAAGCCUUCUCUUUUUC
This 679-nucleotide long non-coding RNA is filed under the name Homo sapiens (human). Its description in RNAcentral is "HSALNT0363649". Lineage: Eukaryota; Metazoa; Chordata; Mammalia; Primates; Hominidae. The record is from RNAcentral.